This is a non-coding RNA of Equus caballus (horse), 618 nucleotides long. The record is from RefSeq and is a predicted model, not a curated record. Lineage: Eukaryota; Metazoa; Chordata; Mammalia; Perissodactyla; Equidae.
UAGUCCGCCUAGAAGAGGCGGGCAAACCCUCGGGGGCGGCCCAGCGACCCGCGCGCGUGCGCGACGUCUGAGGAAGCCGGCGGGGGAAGUUCAGUUUUGCUGGUCGCCGCUCUUGCCUCAGUUUUUCGCAGAGUAGGGGGUCUGCGCUGUGUUGCGCUGCGUGUGGAGUGAAUUCGGGGCCAUUUCUCCUGGGUUGGGGCGAUCCAGAAGCCAAGUUAUGGAGUCUGCAAAAAAUAAUGAGAAAUGCAGAAACGGACUACUGGAAUCUUUACUCUGGGCCAUUCUUGAUGCUCAGUACCACCCCAGAUCUCCAGAAGACUCUGAAGAAAACCAUAACGAGAUACCACCUCACACCCAUUAGAAUGGCUAUUAGGAGAAAAAACAAAACAAAACAGAGAAGGACAGGUGUUCGCAAGGAUGUGGAGAAAUUGGAACCUUUGUGCACUGUUGGUGGGAAUGUAAAAGUUGUAAAACCACUAUGUAUGGCUGUUCCUCAAAACAGUGUGGUGGUUCCUCAAAAAAUUAAAAAUAGAAUUAUUAUAUGAUCCAGCAAUUCCACUUCUAGGUAUAUACCCAAAAGGUUUGAAAGCAGAGUCUUGAAGAGAUGUUUGUACACUC